CCUACGGGAGGCAGCAGUGAGGAAUAUUGGUCAAUGGACGAGAGUCUGAACCAGCCAAGUAGCGUGAAGGAUGACUGCCCUAUGGGUUGUAAACUUCUUUUAUAUGGGAAUAAAAUGUUCCACGUGUGGGAUUUUGUAUGUACCAUAUGAAUAAGGAUCGGCUAACUCCGUGCCAGCAGCCGCGGUAAUACGGAGGAUCCGAGCGUUAUCCGGAUUUAUUGGGUUUAAAGGGAGCGUAGGUGGAUUGUUAAGUCAGUUGUGAAAGUUUGCGGCUCAACCGUAAAAUUGCAGUUGAAACUGGCAGUCUUGAGUACAGUAGAGGUGGGCGGAAUUCGUGGUGUAGCGGUGAAAUGCUUAGAUAUCACGAAGAACUCCGAUUGCGAAGGCAGUUCACUGGACUGCAACUGACACUGAGGCUCGGAAGUGUGGGUAUCAAACAGGAUUAGAUACCCCAGUAGUC
Molecule: ribosomal RNA, 460 nt
Filed under: uncultured bacterium
Lineage: Bacteria
Description: partial 16S ribosomal RNA
Rfam family: Bacterial small subunit ribosomal RNA
Source: RNAcentral